AGCAUAGUAUAGUAUAGAAAGGCAUCUUAGGUACAUAUUAUACUAUCUCUGGUCCAGUCCUAGAGUCUGUGAAUCCUACUGGUAGCUCUGUUUCCUUUUAGUGGGGAUCAAUAUUCAAAAAUCAAGAUAUUGGGCUAGCAUUACUUAUUGAUACUGAGAUAUUAGCUUUCCUAGCCCUAUUAGACAGAUCUAGAGGGAAAAUGACAGAUACACAUACAUACUUGCGUGCACACACACAUAUACAUCUUCUAUCCAGUGCCAACAGUUACUUGUUACCUCCUUCACCCCAUAGUGAAAGCCCUGAAUUUCAACAAUACAUGUAUUAAUUUUCCCAAUCACACAAAGGUAAAUUCACACAUAGCAAAUAAAAGUAAAAUUCAUACAAAAUAUCAGAAUUGACAUACACUUAACACUACAAAUAAUAACCCUUCUACAUAGAGGUUAUGAUUUGUUUGCUUUUUAUUCUUGUCUUUUCAAUUGAGAUAAAGUACUGUGUUUACUUGGAUGUGUUCUCUAUUUUUCUCUUGAAUGAGGUUAUAUUAUCCUUUUGAAAUACAGUUAGAUUUUUUCUGUUCAUACUCAAUUUUGGAGUAUUUUCACAUGCACUUAAGUAAAUUUUAUUUUAUUUUUUGAAGUAUGUAAUGUAUCCAAGAGUCAAAAGAAUACAGAGAAUAAUAUUCAAAACAUUGCAGGAGAAUGUUCUGUCCCAGGACUCACCCAAGUGAUAGAAUGGAAGUGCAAUUCAGGCAAUCUAAUCUGAUGGGAAUCCAACUUUGAGGCAAGUUCCUCACAAGCUGACUGCAAAUCAGAAACAGUGCCUUUCUAUUAUUAAGGUUUUUUUCUCCUGGAACAACUAUGCCUGAGAGAGGAUAAAGCUAAGGAGUUUAGAAAUAGCGGAAUUGAACUUACGGUUGUUUUGUGUUUGAUAACUUGGUCUUCAGAUGCAAUGCUGGUCACUAGAAGGUAUGAAAAAUCUUCUGAGAACUCAGUGAGGACCUGAGGGUAUGGCUCAGUGCUUCGCAUGCAUGAGACACUGGGUUCCAUCCCCAGUACCCACAUUUUCAUAUAUUCUUCUUGCCAACGUACCCUAAGACCUCUUGCUGCCUGAAAUAUCUUUGUCACACUCAAUCUUCUUGGCUAUGGCAAUUCUUUCUUAACCUUACACAGGAAGGAAUCGUGCCCGUUCGCUAAGGUUACCCAUUGUUAGCUCUGUUAUUGACCGAAUCUCUCUAAGCAUUCUCAGCAGUUGCCACCGCCAAAAUGUUAUAAAAAGCAAGUGGCAGUUUUCCCAACCAUCCAAUUCCCACUUGUAUGGAAUCUGAAAGUAUCAGCAAAUGGCGGUCUGUGUUGACCUAAUGGACAGACCACCUGAUUCCUUGUCAGAAAGUUAAUCACUCAAGUUCUUUUGUGGUUCUUUUAUUCUAGCUCCUUCCUAACCCAGGUUGCAGGAGGGUGAAGAAGAUUUCACUAAAAUAUUUCACUAGACUUCAC
RNAcentral lists this long non-coding RNA (1491 nucleotides) under Capra hircus (goat). Its description in RNAcentral is "lncRNA (ENSCHIG00010010795.1)". Lineage: Eukaryota; Metazoa; Chordata; Mammalia; Artiodactyla; Bovidae. The record is from RNAcentral.